RNAcentral lists this ribosomal RNA (507 nucleotides) under uncultured bacterium. RNAcentral's name for it is "partial 16S ribosomal RNA". It matches the Rfam family "Bacterial small subunit ribosomal RNA", at positions 28 to 507 of the family's 1533-position model. The record is from RNAcentral.
GACGAACGCUGGCGGCGUGCCUAAUACAUGCAAGUCGAACGCAUUUUCUUUCACCGUAGCUUGCUACACCGAAAGAAAAUGAGUGGCGAACGGGUGAGUAACACGUGGGUAACCUGCCCAUCAGCGGGGGAUAACACUUGGAAACAGGUGCUAAUACCGCAUAAUUCCAUUUACUGCAUGGUAGAUGGAUGAAAGGCGCUUUUGCGUCACUGAUGGAUGGACCCGCGGUGCAUUAGCUAGUUGGCGGGGUAACGGCCUACCAAGGCUGCGAUGCAUAGCCGACCUGAGAGGGUGAUCGGCCACACUGGGACUGAGACACGGCCCAGACUCCUACGGGAGGCAGCAGUAGGGAAUCUUCGGCAAUGGACGCAAGUCUGACCGAGCAGCGCCGCGUGAGUGAAGAAGGUUUUCGGAUCGUAAAACUCUGUUGUUAGAAAAGAACAAGGAUGAGAGUGGAAAGUUCAUCCCUUGACGGUAUCUAACCAGAAAGCCACGGCUAACUACGUG